This 70-nucleotide transfer RNA is filed under the name human gut metagenome. It matches the Rfam family "tRNA". From Rfam's summary of the family: Transfer RNA (tRNA) molecules are approximately 80 nucleotides in length. Their secondary structure includes four short double-helical elements and three loops (D, anti-codon, and T loops). Further hydrogen bonds mediate the characteristic L-shaped molecular structure. tRNAs have two regions of fundamental functional importance: the anti-codon, which is responsible for specific mRNA codon recognition, and the 3' end, to which the tRNAs corresponding amino acid is attached (by aminoacyl-tRNA synthetases). tRNAs cope with the degeneracy of the genetic code in two manners: having more than one tRNA (with a specific anti-codon) for a particular amino acid; and 'wobble' base-pairing, i.e. permitting non-standard base-pairing at the 3rd anti-codon position. The record is from RNAcentral. RNAcentral also lists the same sequence under 1 other name.
CCGAUAUAGCUCAAUUGGUAGAGCAGCUGAUUUGUAAUCAGCAGGUUGCGGGUUCGAGUCCCAUUGUCGG